CUUUGUGGGAGGGCAAUAUUGUGGGGGAGGGCAUUAUGGUCAAUAUGAUAUGGCACAGACUUACAUUAAAUGCACCUGUUUAGAUCAGUGCAGUCUAAAACAGUCUGGAUACACUCUGUACAUGCGAAAUAUUAUUUUGGAGUCUGUAGAUUUUAUUGCUGUUGAAUUUCUACUGUGCUGUGUAUCAAACUGGUUAAAAGGCAUAUAUUCUGUGCCAUCAUGAAUUCACAGUGACGAGUCGUUCUAUUUCUAAUCAAAAUAUAUGAAUUAUUUAAAUGUAAUUAGUUAUUCAUACAGAAUUAUGCUACUUAAAUUUAUUUCUUCCUCUUUAGGCAUGGAGUAUAAGACUUCUGACCCGGUGCCCAGCAGAGGGACUUCCCAUUACAAUCUUGGCCGUGGACUUACUGGAUUGAUUUUUCUUUUUCUGAUUGCGAUUGGAGCACUGUGAUCUUCAGAGACUUUGGAUCUUCA
Long non-coding RNA from Oreochromis niloticus (Nile tilapia), 471 nucleotides. RefSeq lists it as uncharacterized. NCBI's taxonomy places the organism in Eukaryota, Metazoa, Chordata, Actinopteri, Cichliformes, Cichlidae. The record is from RefSeq and is a predicted model, not a curated record. The transcript has 4 exons.